GACGAACGCUGGCGGCGUGCUUAACACAUGCAAGUCGAACGGUAAGGCCUUUCGGGGUACACGAGUGGCGAACGGGUGAGUAACACGUGGGUGAUCUGCCCUGCACUUCGGGAUAAGCCCGGGAAACUGGGUCUAAUACCGGAUAGGACUGCGGUGCAUGCCGUGUGGUGGAAAGAUUUAUCGGUGCAGGAUGGGCCCGCGGCCUAUCAGCUUGUUGGUGGGGUAAUGGCCUACCAAGGCGACGACGGGUAGCCGGCCUGAGAGGGCGACCGGCCACACUGGGACUGAGACACGGCCCAGACUCCUACGGGAGGCAGCAGUGGGGAAUAUUGCACAAUGGGCGCAAGCCUGAUGCAGCGACGCCGCGUGAGGGAUGACGGCCUUCGGGUUGUAAACCUCUUUCAGCAGGGACGAAGCGUGAGUGACGGUACCUGCAGAAGAAGCACCGGCCAACUACGUG
This 460-nucleotide ribosomal RNA is filed under the name uncultured bacterium. Its description in RNAcentral is "partial 16S ribosomal RNA". It matches the Rfam family "Bacterial small subunit ribosomal RNA", at positions 28 to 507 of the family's 1533-position model. The record is from RNAcentral.